UGUCUAAUACCGCAUGUGGCCAGCACUUUUCCCGUCAACCACGACCAUAAAAUCGUGACCAAUUGGCAGGAAAUGUGCUGGUUAAAGCUCCGGCGCUUUGGGAACGGCCUGCGCAUGAUUAGCUUGUUGGUGAGGUAAUAGCUCACCAAGGCGACGAUCAUUAGCUGGUCUGAGAGGAUGACCAGCCAGACUGGGACUGAGAACGGCCCAG
Molecule: ribosomal RNA, 211 nt
Filed under: uncultured bacterium
Lineage: Bacteria
Description: partial 16S ribosomal RNA
Rfam family: Bacterial small subunit ribosomal RNA
Source: RNAcentral